RNAcentral lists this ribosomal RNA (644 nucleotides) under Paraburkholderia nodosa. RNAcentral's name for it is "bacterial SSU rRNA". It matches the Rfam family "Bacterial small subunit ribosomal RNA", at positions 344 to 981 of the family's 1533-position model. Lineage: Bacteria; Pseudomonadati; Pseudomonadota; Betaproteobacteria; Burkholderiales; Burkholderiaceae. The record is from RNAcentral.
GGAGGCAGCAGUGGGGAAUUUUGGACAAUGGGCGAAAGCCUGAUCCAGCAAUGCCGCGUGUGUGAAGAAGGCCUUCGGGUUGUAAAGCACUUUUGUCCGGAAAGAAAUCCUGGUGGCUAAUAUCCGCCGGGGAUGACGGUACCGGAAGAAUAAGCACCGGCUAACUACGUGCCAGCAGCCGCGGUAAUACGUAGGGUGCGAGCGUUAAUCGGAAUUACUGGGCGUAAAGCGUGCGCAGGCGGUGAUGUAAGACCGAUGUGAAAUCCCCGGGCUUAACCUGGGAACUGCAUUGGUGACUGCAUCGCUGGAGUAUGGCAGAGGGGGGUAGAAUUCCACGUGUAGCAGUGAAAUGCGUAGAGAUGUGGAGGAAUACCGAUGGCGAAGGCAGCCCCCUGGGCCAAUACUGACGCUCAUGCACGAAAGCGUGGGGAGCAAACAGGAUUAGAUACCCUGGUAGUCCACGCCCUAAACGAUGUCAACUGGUUGUCGGGCCUUCAUUGGCUUGGUAACGUAGCUAACGCGUGAAGUUGACCGCCUGGGGAGUACGGUCGCAAGAUUAAAACUCAAAGGAAUUGACGGGGACCCGCACAAGCGGUGGAUGAUGUGGAUUAAUUCGAUGCAACGCGAAAAACCUUACCUACCCU